This 433-nucleotide ribosomal RNA is filed under the name uncultured bacterium. RNAcentral describes it as "partial 16S ribosomal RNA". It matches the Rfam family "Bacterial small subunit ribosomal RNA", at positions 29 to 507 of the family's 1533-position model. The record is from RNAcentral.
AACGAACGCUGGCGGCAGGCCUAACACAUGCAAGUCGAGCGCACCCUUCGGGGUUAGCGGCGGACGGGUGAGUAACGCGUGGGAACGUGCCCUUCUCUGCGGAAUAGCCUCGGGAAACUGAGAGUAAUACCGCAUACGCCCUUUGGGGGAAAGAUUUAUCGGGGAAGGAUCGGCCCGCGUUGGAUUAGGUAGUUGGUGGGGUAAUGGCCCACCAAGCCGACGAUCCAUAGCUGGUUUGAGAGGAUGAUCAGCCACACUGGGACUGAGACACGGCCCAGACUCCUACGGGAGGCAGCAGUGGGGAAUCUUAGACAAUGGGGGCAACCCUGAUCUAGCCAUGCCGGGUGAGUGAUGAAGGCCUUAGGGUUGUAAAGCUCUUUCAGCUGGGAAGAUAAUGACGGUACCAGCAGAAGAAGCCCCGGCUAACUCCGUG